UACGUAGGGUGCGAGCGUUGCCCGGAUUUAUUGGGCGUAAAGCGCGUGCAGGCGGCCUGUUAAGUCCGUUGUGAAAGCUCCCGGCUCAACUGGGAGAGGUCUUCGGAUACUGGCAGGCUCGAGGGAGGUAGAGGAAGGUGGAAUUCCCGGUGUAGUGGUGAAAUGCGUAGAGAUCGGGAGGAACACCAGUGGCGAAGGCGGCCUUCUGGGCCUUUCCUGACGCUGAGACGCGAAAGCGUGGGGAGCGAACCGG
This 253-nucleotide ribosomal RNA is filed under the name uncultured bacterium. RNAcentral describes it as "partial 16S ribosomal RNA". It matches the Rfam family "Bacterial small subunit ribosomal RNA", at positions 524 to 776 of the family's 1533-position model. The record is from RNAcentral.